AAAUUGAAGAGUUUGAUCAUGGCUCAGAUUGAACGCUGGCGGCAGGCCUAACACAUGCAAGUCGAACGGUAACAGGAAGCAGCUUGCUGCUUCGCUGACGAGUGGCGGACGGGUGAGUAAUGUCUGGGAAACUGCCUGAUGGAGGGGGAUAACUACUGGAAACGGUGGCUAAUACCGCAUAACGUCGCAAGACCAAAGAGGGGGACCUUCGGGCCUCUUGCCAUCAGAUGUGCCCAGAUGGGAUUAGCUUGUUGGUGAGGUAACGGCUCACCAAGGCGA
This 279-nucleotide ribosomal RNA is filed under the name Salmonella enterica. Its description in RNAcentral is "partial 16S ribosomal RNA". It matches the Rfam family "Bacterial small subunit ribosomal RNA", at positions 1 to 276 of the family's 1533-position model. The record is from RNAcentral. RNAcentral also lists the same sequence under 4 other names. Lineage: Bacteria; Pseudomonadati; Pseudomonadota; Gammaproteobacteria; Enterobacterales; Enterobacteriaceae.